This 422-nucleotide ribosomal RNA is filed under the name uncultured bacterium. RNAcentral's name for it is "bacterial SSU rRNA". It matches the Rfam family "Bacterial small subunit ribosomal RNA", at positions 358 to 773 of the family's 1533-position model. The record is from RNAcentral.
GGAAUUGUUCGCAAUGGGCGCAAGCCUGACGACGCAACGCCGCGUGGAGGAUGAAGGUCUUCGGAUUGUAAACUCCUGUCGCCCGGGACGAAUGGCUCCGACCUAACACGUCGGAGAUUGACGGUACCGGGCGAGGAAGCCCCGGCUAACUCUGUGCGAGCAGCCGCGGUAAUACAGAGGGGGCAAGCGUUGUUCGGAAUUACUGGGCGUAAAGGGCGCGUAGGUGGCCCGCUAAGUCGAACGUGAAAUCCCCGGGCUCAACCCGGGAACUGCGUCCGAUACUGGUGGGCUUGAAUCCGGGAGAGGGAUGCGGAAUUCCAGGUGUAGCGGUGAAAUGCGUAGAUAUCUGGAGGAACACCGGUGGCGAAGGCGGCAUCCUGGACCGGUAUUGACACUGAGGCGCGAAAGCCAGGGGAGCAAAC